UACGAAUCGUCCAAACGUUGUUCGGAUUUACUGGGUUUAAAGGGCGCGUAGGCGGUGCGUUAAGUCGGCGGUGAAAUACUUCGGCUCAACCGGAGAAUUGCCGCUGAAACUGGCGUGCUCGAGGGAGGUAGAGGUGCGUGGAACUUCCGGUGGAGCGGUGAAAUGCGUUGAUAUCGGAAGGAACACCUGUGGCGAAAGCGAUGCACUGGACCUCAUCUGACGCUGAGGCGCGAAAGCCAGGGGAGCGAACGGG
Molecule: ribosomal RNA, 253 nt
Filed under: uncultured bacterium
Lineage: Bacteria
Description: partial 16S ribosomal RNA
Rfam family: Bacterial small subunit ribosomal RNA
Source: RNAcentral